RNAcentral lists this transfer RNA (58 nucleotides) under Salmo salar (Atlantic salmon). Lineage: Eukaryota; Metazoa; Chordata; Actinopteri; Salmoniformes; Salmonidae. The record is from Rfam by way of RNAcentral.
UGGCUAAAUUGAUAAAGCUUGGCACUUGCAACACCAAGGUUGUGGGUUUGAUUCCCAC